GACGAACGCUGGCGGCGUGCCUAAUACAUGCAAGUCGAGCGAAGUUUUUCUGGUGCUUGCACCGGAAAAACUUAGCGGCGAACGGGUGAGUAACACGUAAAGAACCUGCCUCAUAGACUGGGACAACUAUUGGAAACGAUAGCUAAUACCGGAUAACAGCAUUAACUGCAUGGUUGAUGUUUAAAAGUUGGUUUUGCUAACACUAUGAGAUGGCUUUGCGGUGCAUUAGCUAGUUGGUGGGGUAAAGGCCUACCAAGGCGACGAUGCAUAGCCGACCUGAGAGGGUGAUCGGCCACACUGGGACUGAGACACGGCCCAGACUCCUACGGGAGGCUGCAGUAGGGAAUCUUCCGCAAUGGGCGAAAGCCUGACGGAGCAACGCCGCGUGAGUGAAGAAGGAUUUCGGUUCGUAAAGCUCUGUUGUUAGGGAAGAAUGAUUGUGUAGUAACUAUACAC
This 456-nucleotide ribosomal RNA is filed under the name Gemella haemolysans. RNAcentral describes it as "bacterial SSU rRNA". It matches the Rfam family "Bacterial small subunit ribosomal RNA", at positions 28 to 468 of the family's 1533-position model. The record is from RNAcentral. Lineage: Bacteria; Bacillati; Bacillota; Bacilli; Caryophanales; Gemellaceae.